AUGGGAGGCCCGUCUCCAUGGCGCCCGUCGGCACCGCCCCCCUCGCGGCGCUGGCGGCCGCAACAUGGCAGCGGCGCCUCCCGGCGGCGGCUCCGCGCUCUGAGCGCUCCGGGGCCGGGCCGAGGCGGGGCAGCGGCGGCGGCCGUGAGGGGCCNNNNNNNNNNNNNNNNNNNNGAGGGGCCCCGCGGGCCUGGGAGCCGCCGCCAGCACCGCGACGGCCCCGCCGCUGCCGGCCGUGGCUGUGAGGGGAGCCCGGCGGCGGCGGCCGCCCCGCUUUUGUCCGCCGGGAGCGGGGCCUGGGGGGGGCGCGAGGCGACCCCGGCCCCCUCAGUCCGUCCGUCCGUCCGUCAGCGCCUCUCCGUCUGUCCGGCCGUGCCCAGCUGCCGCCAGGGGAGUGCGCCGGCAUUUCGCGCCUCGCAGCGUCGGCCGUGCGCAUCCUGCUGCCGGAGCCCCAGUCCCCGGGGAGCCUCCUCGUGCUGGUCCCAGAGCCCCUGCAAGACUCCUCUCCAGGUCCCUCUGAUAAGGAGAAGGCAGCGAGAGGAACGAAAGGUGUUAGUGGGACUUCAUGGAGGGAAACUCAGAGCCUCUGCCUUCAAGGUACCUCUCUGCAAGUAGUACUGUCGAACUCUCCGGAGCUGCUGUGUUCACCUAGAAGCUGUUAGAGCUGUGGGAAAUGAGAGGACUUGCCAGGGUGAGUACAAAUGCUGUGUCAGACCUUGUUUUUAAAAGUUAUUAUUUUUUUUUAAAGUUACUGAUGUAUUUUCAAGGAAAGAAAAAAACAAACUCUAAUUCUGGGAGAGCAACUUCUGUGCUGUGCCAGCUCUUAGAUUUCGCUGGUUUAAGUGCGUACUGUUUUUUUUUUUUUUCUUCUUGUCUCUAUGCCUCCUUAGAUAUUCAGAUCUGAGUCUUGCUUGCUUAAAAUCUGUCACACGGCCCCAGCAGCUGUAUAAAAACCCUGACUUGGAAAACCCCAGGUGUGAUAAAGCCUCAAGGCUUUGAAGCUUGAAGCCCAGCAGUGCUGCAUUCCUGCCGGUGGAGCUCCCUGUGGGGAGGGGGUCUCACCCCCCGGGCGAGAGGAUGCUCCUCUCUGGUCCCCAGUGCGUGCACCUCCGAGACCCUUAUUGCCACCGGUGGGUGCGCUGCAGUGUGCGUGUGCCCUGCGUCCCUGCCUUCACGUGCCCUUUGUGUUGAACUGGGAGCAUACCCAGGGGCGUCGUGCCGCCUUGGAAAGGCUGCAUGUGACAGGUGACUUGUGGGCCCUGCUUCGCUUUUUCUCCGCUCCCUUCGCAGCUCUGAUCGGCAGGCAGUGGUCGCGGCUGCUCCCCCAGCCCCGUGCAGCAGUGAGCCCGUGCCGGUUGC
This 1359-nucleotide long non-coding RNA is filed under the name Anser cygnoides (Swan goose). RNAcentral's name for it is "lncRNA (ENSACDG00005007305.1)". The record is from RNAcentral. Lineage: Eukaryota; Metazoa; Chordata; Aves; Anseriformes; Anatidae.